UGAGUUCUGCUAGUAGUGAACUUUUGACAAACACGAAUAGUUCAGAACUAGCGGAAUUCCAGA
This is a microRNA precursor of Astatotilapia calliptera (eastern happy), 63 nucleotides long. Lineage: Eukaryota; Metazoa; Chordata; Actinopteri; Cichliformes; Cichlidae. The record is from Ensembl.